AAGUCGUAACAAGGUUUCCGUAGGUGAACCUGCGGAAGGAUCAUUAACACGUAUCCAACGUUAAACCCCCGAACGUACAUUCCUUCUCCGCUUACAGAAAAUUGGUUGCAAUCCCUGGUAAAUCAUCGCCAAACAGUUUUGAUUCAGGAAGUGUUUAACCCAGAAACGAGUACACGUCCCUCUUGACCCCUUGAAACGACAGGGUGUCGCGAAAAUUUACUUGUUCCGAAGGUCAAGUACUAACUGAACAACUGUUAACAAUGGAUAUCUUGGGUCUC
This 278-nucleotide unclassified non-coding RNA is filed under the name fungal sp. Its description in RNAcentral is "partial internal transcribed spacer region". The stretch from base 1 to 46 matches the Rfam family "Eukaryotic small subunit ribosomal RNA", at positions 1786 to 1831 of the family's 1831-position model. The record is from RNAcentral. Lineage: Eukaryota; Fungi.